Gasterosteus aculeatus aculeatus (three-spined stickleback) is the source of this 1168-nucleotide long non-coding RNA. The record is from Ensembl. NCBI's taxonomy places the organism in Eukaryota, Metazoa, Chordata, Actinopteri, Perciformes, Gasterosteidae.
GACAAGCGACACAAGAGUUAUGGGCAGUGAUUCAGACUUCUGGAAUCGGGCAAACAAUGCAAUGAGCUUCUGGGUCGCGAUGUAUUAUGUUACGGCGUCCGGGACUGAGUCACAGUUUCACCCUUCACGACGGAUCCGCGACCACAGAAGGAGACGUUCAAUCACCUGACGGGAGAACAAGUCGCGAGGUCUAACAACAUGAUUAAGCAGCAACGGUCUGUCGGAAGACUGAACAGACAUUAGAACAGUCUUCAAAUGCUUCAUAGACAGAUUAAUACAGAGGCGGAGAGGGGGGACGAGACCUGCCACGCUUGAGGGUCGGUGGAAAUGUGUCUCUGAGAUGGCCUUGGUGAAGUGCUGCGAGGACCAGUGCAGGGGGGAGGAACACGGUGGAGCAAAGAUAUACGAAACACGGAUCGCAUGAGACGUCUCCCCUUAUUACUAACUCCCCUUGAAGAAACUCAAAGGCCAAGUGGUAUCUUGCUCAAGCAUCAGUGCUCAGUACGAUUCUUGGUGUCGCCUGUGAGAGAAGAGCGAGCCGCUGACAAAGAACAAAAGCCCACCAGAACCAGAAGGAUUCACUGCUGAUUUCUGUCAACCUGCUGGCUCUGACUUUUCUUACUGCUGGAAGACGACGGUGUUAAAACAAGGCUGAAUGCUGAGGGGAGAGAGAUAAGAGGUCUGCAGUAAAAAAGAAUAACCUGUCGUAUCGGGAGUGUUACGGCCUCAUGAGUCACAGGACCAAACAGGAAACAUGAGCGAGCGCUUUCUUUUCAAAAGAAAAGUCCCGUUUGAUGCCAUCAAAGGAAACACUGCGUUGAACAUUUGUAUGUUUUUCAGUUUUCGAUACCGCAAGUCAAUGGGUGGUAUACUUGGUUUUUUCCAGAUUCUGAGUAUGACCUGUUAUACUCAAAAGAUCUGAAACACUUAAAGUGAUGUGAACUGCUUCAUCGUGUGAGUUCUUGAAACAUAUUUAAAGGAAGUAAGUGCAAUUAGUAGUUUUUUUACUGCUUAUUUAAGUGCAGCUGAAGUUGCACUUCAAACACAGUACUUUUAUAACAUAAUAGAAUAUAAAUGAUUAAAAAAAAAAAGUUUAAGAAUAGCAAAGAAAGUGUGUGCGUCUGUGCGUAUGUGUGUGAGUGUGUUGGAGGUGUUUGUUUUUCAAUAU